RNAcentral lists this ribosomal RNA (1175 nucleotides) under Salmonella enterica. Its description in RNAcentral is "partial 23S ribosomal RNA". It matches the Rfam family "Bacterial large subunit ribosomal RNA", at positions 1 to 1217 of the family's 2925-position model. The record is from RNAcentral. Lineage: Bacteria; Pseudomonadati; Pseudomonadota; Gammaproteobacteria; Enterobacterales; Enterobacteriaceae.
GGUUAAGCGACUAAGCGUACACGGUGGAUGCCCUGGCAGUCAGAGGCGAUGAAGGGCGUGCUAAUCUGCGAUAAGCGCCGGUAAGGUGAUAUGAACCGUUAUAACCGGCGAUACCCGAAUGGGGAAACCCAGUGUGAUUCGUCACACUAUCAUUAACUGAAUCCAUAGGUUAAUGAGGCGAACCGGGGGAACUGAAACAUCUAAGUACCCCGAGGAAAAGAAAUCAACCGAGAUUCCCCCAGUAGCGGCGAGCGAACGGGGAGGAGCCCAGAGCCUGAAUCAGCAUGUGUGUUAGUGGAAGCGUCUGGAAAGGCGCGCGAUACAGGGUGACAGCCCCGUACACAAAAGCGUAUGUGCUGUGAGCUCGAUGAGUAGGGCGGGACACGUGGUAUCCUGUCUGAAUAUGGGGGGACCAUCCUCCAAGGCUAAAUACUCCUGACUGACCGAUAGUGAACCAGUACCGUGAGGGAAAGGCGAAAAGAACCCCGGCGAGGGGAGUGAAAAAGAACCUGAAACCGUGUACGUACAAGCAGUGGGAGCACCCUUUGGGGUGUGACUGCGUACCUUUUGUAUAAUGGGUCAGCGACUUAUAUUCUGUAGCAAGGUUAACCGAAUAGGGGAGCCGGAGGGAAACCGAGUCUUAAUUGGGCGUUAAGUUGCAGGGUAUAGACCCGAAACCCGGUGAUCUAGCCAUGGGCAGGUUGAAGGUUGGGUAACACUAACUGGAGGACCGAACCGACUAAUGUUGAAAAAUUAGCGGAUGACCUGUGGCUGGGGGUGAAAGGCCAAUCAAACCGGGAGAUAGCUGGUUCUCCCCGAAAGCUAUUUAGGUAGCGCCUCGUGAAUUCAUCUCCGGGGGUAGAGCACUGUUUCGGCUAGGGGGUCAUCCCGACUUACCAACCCGAUGCAAACUGCGAAUACCGGAGAAUGUUAUCACGGGAGACACACGGCGGGUGCUAACGUCCGUCGUGAAGAGGGAAACAACCCAGACCGCCAGCUAAGGUCCCAAAGUCAUGGUUAAGUGGGAAACGAUGUGGGAAGGCCCAGACAGCCAGGAUGUUGGCUUAGAAGCAGCCAUCAUUUAAAGAAAGCGUAAUAGCUCACUGGUCGAGUCGGCCUGCGCGGAAGAUGUAACGGGGCUAAACCAUGCACCGAAGCUGCGGCAGCGACACUCA